Molecule: ribosomal RNA, 543 nt
Filed under: uncultured bacterium
Lineage: Bacteria
Description: bacterial SSU rRNA
Rfam family: Bacterial small subunit ribosomal RNA
Source: RNAcentral
UCUUUUAGAGAUGAGUGGCGAACGGGUGAGUAAUACAUAGGUAACCUGCCCCUGUGCGGGGGAUAACAGGAGGAAACUCCUGCUAAUACCGCAUAGCCAUGAGCACCGCAUGGAGCUCAUGCCAAAUAUCCUUUCGGGGAUAGCGCAGGGAUGGACCUAUGGCGCAUUAGCUGGUUGGCGGGGCAACGGCCCACCAAGGCAACGAUGCGUAGCCGGCCUGAGAGGGCGGACGGCCACAUUGGGACUGAGACACGGCCCAGACUCCUACGGGAGGCAGCAGUAGGGAAUUUUCGGCAAUGGGGGAAACCCUGACCGAGCAACGCCGCGUGAGCGAAGAAGGCCUUCGGGUCGUAAAGCUCUGUUGUAAAGGAAGAACGGCGCAUACAGGAAAUGGUAUGCGAGUGACGGUACUUUACCAGAAAGCCACGGCUAACUACGUGCCAGCAGCCGCGGUAAUACGUAGGUGGCGAGCGUUAUCCGGAAUCAUUGGGCGUAAAGAGGGAGCAGGCGGCCGCAAGGGUCUGUGGUGAAAGCCCGAAGCUA